Molecule: long non-coding RNA, 377 nt
Organism: Gopherus flavomarginatus (Mexican gopher tortoise)
Lineage: Eukaryota; Metazoa; Chordata; Testudines; Testudinidae
Exons: 3
Source: RefSeq, a predicted model, not a curated record
GCCAGCCUACGUGGGCCGUUGGGGGCUCGCCCGUGCGGGGCCAACCUCUGUCCGCCCCCUAGAGCCUGACAGGAGGGGCCGCUGCGUUGUCACUGCGCAUGCGCUCACGGACUGAGCAUGCUCAGUGGCAUCUGCUGAAGCCGCUGCCCUCAGAACACCUUCAUUGCAGAUAGCAGCACAUGAACAACCUCUUCAUACUGCAGCAGAAGGCGAAAAAAUCCCCAGAGUCACUGCCAAGCUGACUUGGAGGGAAGUUCCUUCCUGGAACCCAACAGGAACGACAGAGACAGGGGCUGACCUGAAUCCUGAUCCUGCCCCCUCAUAUGUCUAUCAUGGAGGAAAUCAUUUUGCUGAGGAUCAUGGAUGGGAAGUCUGGA